CAGCCUGGUUGGUAAUCAGGUGUUGAGUGUAAGUGCACAAGGGAGCUUGACUGUGAGACCGACGGGUCGAGCAGGGACGAAAGUCGGGACUAGUGAUCCGGCAGUGGCUUGUGGAAGCGCUGUCGCUCAACGGAUAAAAGGUACCCCGGGGAUAACAGGCUGAUCUUCCCCAAGAGUCCAUAUCGACGGGAUGGUUUGGCACCUCGAUGUCGGCUCGUCGCAUCCUGGGGCUGGAGUCGGUCCCAAGGGUUGGGCUGUUCGCCCAUUAAAGCGGUACGCGAGCUGGGUUUAGAACGUCGUGAGACAGUUCGGUCCCUAUCCGCUGUGCGCGUAGGAAUAUUGAGAAGGGCUGUCCCUAGUACGAGAGGACCGGGACGGACGAACCUCUGGUGUGCCAGUUGUCCUGCCAAGGGCAUGGCUGGUUGGCUACGUUCGGAAAGGAUAACCGCUGAAAGCAUCUAAGCGGGAAGCCUGCUUCGAGAUGAGUAUUCCCACCAACUUGAUUGGUUAAGGCUCCCAGUAGACGACUGGGUUGAUAGGCCAGAUGUGGAAGCCCGGUAACGGGUGGAGCUGACUGGUACUAAUAGGCCGAGGGCUUGUCCUCAGUUG
RNAcentral lists this ribosomal RNA (609 nucleotides) under Streptomyces sp. SID6648. RNAcentral's name for it is "partial 23S ribosomal RNA". It matches the Rfam family "Bacterial large subunit ribosomal RNA", at positions 2323 to 2925 of the family's 2925-position model. The record is from RNAcentral. Lineage: Bacteria; Bacillati; Actinomycetota; Actinomycetes; Kitasatosporales; Streptomycetaceae.